UACAGAGGUCCCGAGCGUUGUUCGGAUUCACUGGGCGUAAAGGGUGCGUAGGUGGCGAGGUAAGUCGGAUGUGAAAGCCCGGAGCUCAACUCCGAAAUGGCAUUGGAAACUACCUUGCUCGAGGGUUGGAGGGGGGACUGGAAUACUUGGUGUAGCAGUGAAAUGCGUAGAUAUCGAGAGGAACACCAGUGGCGAAGGCGAGUCUCUGGACGACUCCUGACACUGAGGCACGAAAGCUAGGGGAGCAAACAGG
Molecule: ribosomal RNA, 253 nt
Filed under: uncultured bacterium
Lineage: Bacteria
Description: partial 16S ribosomal RNA
Rfam family: Bacterial small subunit ribosomal RNA
Source: RNAcentral